RNAcentral lists this long non-coding RNA (295 nucleotides) under Junco hyemalis (dark-eyed junco). RNAcentral's name for it is "lncRNA (ENSJHYG00000000807.1)". The record is from RNAcentral. Lineage: Eukaryota; Metazoa; Chordata; Aves; Passeriformes; Passerellidae.
GGGCUUGGGGACACCAUGGACACCUUGGAGAAGGACCCGUUUUUGGGAGCAAGGACAACUUCCUGGGGCUGGGAGUGUUUGUGGACACGUAUCCCAACGAGGAGAAGCAGCAGGAGGCUCAGAAGAGGAGGUACAGCCCUGGAAACCAGGUACUGCCUCCUGCUGUCCCACCUGGAGCUCCCCGUUCCCACCUCCAGGAACCCGGGAGAGGCUGCAUGGACGUGGAGUGGGGGCUCGGUGCCGGAUCGGUGGGACACGAUCCUGAGGGAUGGACCUUGGCGUCAUCCCGGUGGUG